Molecule: small nuclear RNA, 147 nt
Organism: Carassius carassius (crucian carp)
Lineage: Eukaryota; Metazoa; Chordata; Actinopteri; Cypriniformes; Cyprinidae
Product: U4 spliceosomal RNA
Exons: 1
Source: RefSeq, a predicted model, not a curated record
CUUCUUUCACAGAGGCAAUAUUGUAGCCUAUAUGAGGCUCAUCCGAGGCGCGAUCAUUGCUGGUUGAAAUUUUUACCCAAUACCCCGCCAGGAUGACAAAGGGAAGUCGUGGCCUAGUGGUCAGAGAGUUUGACUCCUAAGCCUAGG